RNAcentral lists this ribosomal RNA (253 nucleotides) under uncultured bacterium. Its description in RNAcentral is "partial 16S ribosomal RNA". It matches the Rfam family "Bacterial small subunit ribosomal RNA", at positions 524 to 776 of the family's 1533-position model. The record is from RNAcentral.
UACGGAGGGAGCUAGCGUUGUUCGGAAUUACUGGGCGUAAAGCGCGCGUAGGCGGCUUUGUAAGUUAGAGGUGAAAGCCCGGGGCUCAACCCCGGAACUGCCUUUAAAACUGCAUCGCUUGAAUCCGGGAGAGGUGAGUGGAAUUCCGAGUGUAGAGGUGAAAUUCGUAGAUAUUCGCAAGAACACCAGUGGCGAAGGCGGCUCACUGGUCCGGUACUGACGCUGAGGUGCGAAAGCGUGGGGAGCAAACGGG